Molecule: ribosomal RNA, 460 nt
Filed under: uncultured bacterium
Lineage: Bacteria
Description: partial 16S ribosomal RNA
Rfam family: Bacterial small subunit ribosomal RNA
Source: RNAcentral
CCUACGUGAGGCAGCAGUGAGGAAUAUUGGUCAAUGGGCGCGAGCCUGAACCAGCCAAGUAGCGUGAAGGAUUACUGCCCUACGGGUUGUAAACUUCUUUUAUAAAGGAAUAAAGUGAGGCACGUGUGCCUUUUUGUAUGUACUUUAUGAAUAAGGAUCGGCUAACUCCGUGCCAGCAGCCGCGGUAAUACGGAGGAUCCGAGCGUUAUCCGGAUUUAUUGGGUUUAAAGGGAGCGUAGAUGGGUUGUUAAGUCAGUUGUGAAAGUUUGCGGCUCAACCGUAAAAUUGCAAUUGAUACUGGCAGUCUUGAGUACAGUUGAGGUAGGCGGAAUUCGUGGUGUAGCGGUGAAAUGCUUAGAUAUCACGAAGAACUCCGAUUGCGAAGGCAGCUUACUAAACUGCCACUGACAUUGAUGCUCGAAAGUGUGGGUAUCAAACAGGAGUAGAUACCCCAGUAGUC